UCUGGUAAUGAUGGCAGAGAGGCCACACCCGUUCCCAUACCGAACACGGAAGUUAAGCUCUCUAGCGCCGAUGGUAGUUGGGACCUUGUCCCUGUGAGAGUAGGACGUUGCCAGGCAAA
This 119-nucleotide ribosomal RNA is filed under the name Bacillus anthracis (anthrax bacterium). Lineage: Bacteria; Bacillati; Bacillota; Bacilli; Caryophanales; Bacillaceae. RNAcentral also lists the same sequence under 1 other name. The record is from RNAcentral.